CCUACACACCUGCCGCCCAUUAACUCAUCAUCCUGCAAUACUUCAACCCGGCUUUCCAACCACUCCUCGUCAGAUCGUUGUCACAGCUACUGUGGAUCGUCAUCCGUGUACCCAGUACCUGUCUGCCUGCCGACCCGCUGGUUCACAACUCAAGACUACAACUCAAGACUACACCCCAAUAAAUCACCUCAUUGUA
Long non-coding RNA from Osmerus eperlanus (European smelt), 196 nucleotides. RefSeq lists it as uncharacterized. NCBI's taxonomy places the organism in Eukaryota, Metazoa, Chordata, Actinopteri, Osmeriformes, Osmeridae. The transcript has 2 exons. The record is from RefSeq and is a predicted model, not a curated record.